CAAUUUUCAUCCAUCAGCAAGUGCUUCGCUGGACUCGAAUUUUCUUCACAGCACCAACAAUGCUACUCUCCGCCAUUGGUCUGCAGACUCCUCUCUCUAACCCCAAUCACGCUUCCACUGCCACUGCUUCUACCUCUGCAAACCCUCUGUUCUCCUCCGCUAAUUCCCUGAAACCGCACCCUUCCAGCACCGCCACCACCACCACCACCGGCAGUAGCUGCUUCUCUUCCCUAAGACCGCUUCAUCUCCUCGCCACCAACGCUUCCACUUCUUCAACCUCUUCGCUUACCACCAACACUGCUAACAACGUCAGCAGCAGUGAGCCUUCUCUUCAAAAUCCUAACUUGCUCCAUCACGUGACUCGCGCGCUUCCCGAUGAUGAACCAGAAGGAGCAGCGGAGCUGGUGUCCUCCGCCUCCGCGGUUGCUUCUGCCAUUCGCAGAGGCUCCAAUUCUCCUGUGGAGUUUGUGCAGCGUAUUGAGAAGGCUGAAAAGAGCGAGUUGGUGUUUCCGAGUCUGGACUUUCAGAGACUUUGCGUCGAACAGUUGGACCUCUUUCGCAGAAUCGUCGAUCCCAAUGCUACUCUUUCGGUUUAUGUGAGGCCUGCGGGAAGUUACGUUAUGGACCGUCUAGAGCUGCGUAGAAUAAUAUCUUAUCCAGGAGUAAAUGCAUCAGAUAUUGUAAUAUUAGUUGGUACCUUCAAUAUUCCCACUGGUUUACGCGCUGCUGAAGCUGCACUCUCCAAUCAACAAGUAGAAUUUAUGACUGAGCAUAAGGCUUUUGUGUUUCCAAUGGUGAAACACCCAUUUGUUGUUGGAUUCUUGGUUGCUGAGUUACCAAUGAUGGAAAUGAACAAAUCAUGUGGGAAUGCACGGACUGAGGGUCAUGAUUUGAUUCACUUGCCAUCUCCAGAGGAAGCCUAUGCUUUGCCUUCAAGCUCAGAUGAGAAAUCAUGGGGAAUUCAGACUUUAGAUGAUCAGCCAUUGAGAGUAUAUAACUUCACUGCUGAGCAGAGAUUGAAUGCUAUUAAUAUCUCUCGCUCUCUGGCUAUGGCGUAUGUUAUGGAUCAGAAAGCAAUGUUACUCCAACAAUCAUCUUGGCAAAAUAAUGUUAGAAUGAGUAAUCUAGUUGAACAGAUCCGUGGUCCUCUUUCUAGCAUUCGAACUUUGAGUAAAAUGUUGUCCACCCACUUGAAGAGAAGUGAGAUUUCUUAUGACAUUAUUGAAGACAUACUGGUACAGGGUGAACAAAUGAAAGAUGCUCUUCAAGAACUCCAGGAUGCUGUUUACUUGACAAAGGCCAAUAUAAUGCUCUAUAAUGAAAAGGCAUUGAAGAAAAUUCACAAGUCCACUUAUCACAAUGAUGAGUCAUUGAGGUCUCGCUUAUCAGAUAGCUUUCCUAGAGACACAGGCAACAGUAAUAAUUUGCAAAAUUCCAGUGAAUCUUCUUCGCUAAAUGCUGCAACCAGGGACUUAGAGAUGCCCAUGCCACCUUUGGCACUUACUUCCUUACAACAACAUGUAAUAAGACCUUGCAAUGUUUCUGAGGUGCUGUCAGAUUUGGUUGAGGCAGUGCAACCUCUUGCCUGCAAUCAGCAACGCAGUGUAGAGCUCACUGAAAUCUGUCAAUCUUUGCAAGUUGCUGUGGAAGAGCCAGCUUUGCGCCAGGCUUUGAGCAAUUUAAUUGAAGGCGCAUUGUUGCGUACGCAUGUUAAGGGUAAGGUUGAAAUUGUGUCUACUGAAGCACCUGCAGGUGGUGGUGCCCUUGUAGUUAUUGAUGAUGAUGGCCCUGAUAUGCACUAUAUGGUAAGCAUGCCAAUGCUUUCAAGCAACUAGCUUUUGCUUAUUCAAGUUAGCUGUUGGAAUCCCUAAAUUUUCUUUACUCAUUCACCAGUCACCACAUGCAUAGCACACCCAUAGUUAAAUCGCAUCUUUGUGCAAUAUGGGAAAUGUGAUGCUUUCGCAUACCAAACAUCAAGUGAACAUAGUUUCAUCAUAUGAGAAAGUUAGGGGAAAAGAAAGAUAGAAAUGGCAUUAGUGAGAAUCAUAAAUUGAUCAGACCAAUUAUCUGAAGUAUCAUCUGUGGUGUCUUUUUGUGACGGUUUGGCCUGAAGAAAUAAACUUUUCAGAAUAAGAGGUUCAAAUUAGAUUGAAGGAAUAGGAAAACAAUUUUUUGGUAUCAGUUAGGAUUUGAGCCUGUUAGGAGGUGUUAAUUAUUAAAUUUUAUCCAUUUUCAUAAUCUAUAGCUUUUGAGGCUUUUGUUAUGAAUUUAUGAUCCUAAAUGUGUUCCAUUGUGCAGUAAAUGUUUUAUCUUUGCAAUAUUACAGCUUGGGAAGCUUGCCUAAUUGGCUUUUGGGUUUAGUAGUAACUUGUUUGUGCCAAAAAUUUUCUUGAAUACUUAAAUACAAAAAUUUAUUCUUAUUUUUGUAAUUUUCUAUUAGUUAUGUACUUGCAUUACAACUACCAUUUCUCAGGUUUUUAAAUUAUUAUUAUUAUUAUAGACUUAAAUGAACUAAGUGUUCUUAUGCUUGGACUAGGCCUUGGGGUAAAUCUUUUCCUUGGAUCCAUGGAUGCACCAUAAGAUAUUAUAUGGUUGUUAAAUAGUUGCCUCCUUAC
RNAcentral lists this unclassified non-coding RNA (2615 nucleotides) under Hevea brasiliensis (rubber tree). Lineage: Eukaryota; Viridiplantae; Streptophyta; Magnoliopsida; Malpighiales; Euphorbiaceae. The record is from RNAcentral.